This 253-nucleotide unclassified non-coding RNA is filed under the name Hevea brasiliensis (rubber tree). Lineage: Eukaryota; Viridiplantae; Streptophyta; Magnoliopsida; Malpighiales; Euphorbiaceae. The record is from RNAcentral.
AGGACUAAAGCAGCUACUACUCGCUCGACAAAGAUGAUUGCACGAAAAUCCUCUGUGUACUGAUACUUAAGAAGUAUUUUUAUUAAUGACUGCACUUUUGGGGUCACUUUUCCAUCAGCUACAGCAGCCCCUAUUAUCACAUCAACAUGCUCCCCACCGGAAACGACAUGACUGUCAGGAAGCUCUCCUUCUUCAAUAUCAUCAGGAUCAGUCCCAUCUUGAGCAACUCCAUUCUCAUUGUCAUUAGAUUUUG